UACGUAGGGCGCAAGCGUUGUCCGGAAUUAUUGGGCGUAAAGAGCUCGUAGGUGGCUCGUCACGUCGACUGUGAAAUCCCAAGGCUCAACCUUGGGUCUGCAGUCGAUACGGGCGGACUUGAGUACUGCAGGGGAGACUGGAAUUCCUGGUGUAGCGGUGAAAUGCGUAGAGAUCCGGAAGAACACCGGUGGCGAAGGCGGCCUGCUGGGCAGUGGCUGACGCUGAGGCGCGACAGCGUGGGGAGCAAACAGG
This 253-nucleotide ribosomal RNA is filed under the name uncultured bacterium. Its description in RNAcentral is "partial 16S ribosomal RNA". It matches the Rfam family "Bacterial small subunit ribosomal RNA", at positions 524 to 776 of the family's 1533-position model. The record is from RNAcentral.